GAUGGCGGAGUGAGGCGUGCCCCGGGCAGCUGGCCUGCGGGCCCGGGGCAGGCCUCCCGUGAGAAGCGGAGUACUUGUGCUGGACCGUGUGAGCUAAAUUCUCGGAAAGUCUUUGCUUCUGAAUUCUGGAUCGGGGAGACAUUUGCUGCGUGUGUUGGUGCUCAGGGCCAGAAAUUUACAUCUAUCAAAACCUUGUUUCAGAAAUAAACUGGCAUAUUAGUGAGAGCCAGUUCAAAUGGAAAAAUCAUAAUGAACCAUAUCACACAAGAUGAAUAUUUUCCUGACCUUAGGUGCUUUUAUAUUCAGCUCAACAUUCUGAACUCAGGACUUGGCACGUAAGUAGAUAGAGAUAAUCAUCCCAAGUCCUGUUGUAGCGGCUUGAAAGGCUCCAUAGAAGCGACAUACUAAACUGUUAAGAGCAACAGAAGAUGAAGAUAAAAAUGAGUACAAGCCAGCUACCAUGGCUCACCUUUAUGCCCAGCUCUUGGGACCUGGGGAACUGAGGAAUUCCUAUGUGGACUGCUCAGUGAGGCGUCCUGGUUCUUCCAUCCUGUUACUUUCCCCAGUGAGAUGCAGAUGUCUUUCGACAGAUUACCUCCAUGGUUUAGGAUGCAGAGACUGCCUUUCUUUUACGUCAGACUCAACACAGGAAAGCCGUGAGGAUGCAGCCGUCCUGUUGACUUCAGCAAGAAAACAAACCAUGGACUUGGGUCUUCUGCAGCUUUUGAAUUGGAAAGACGGUGUUUGCAAGUAGAAGGAAGAUGCUGAAUUUGAAACAAGUGCUUAGGUUCUGUGGCGUGAGUUGUUUUCUUUUUAAAAGAUCCAAACAAGAAGACUGAACAAAUACCAAGUGUGGGUGACUUCAGGUUUUUUUUUUAAUGUCUUCCAAUUUUAACACUAUUAUAAGCACAGUUGACCGCAGGAGCUGCUCAUUAAUACAAACCAGGAAAGAAACCAUUCUGCCCAAGUACCCUCACCACCCUCCAGCUCUCAGCAGGAACUGGCCUGAGUGUCAUAAACAGGCGCCACCAUCAGUGUGAAGUUCAGUGCUGACUGAGGACCCGGCAAGGCCCUGCAGCAAGGUGGUUUUGUAGGAUACAGAAGUUCAGACUCAGGCUGUGCUGUGGCUCUGUUUACAACUGCAGAGCUGGAGUUGUUCUUCAGAUGAGUCGGUCAAAAUGUGUCACUUGCCUGAAACUUGAUUCCUGAGGAACAGGAGAAAACUUUCUUCUUCCAAAAAAUAUAUUUAUUUGGAUAAAUGAAUAUUGGUUUGUUAUAAUAGUGAAAGGAACAGAAGUGUAAUCUACUGGCAGAACAUUUACCUGAGAAAAUGGGUUUAAUUGCAGCACUACCAAAAAAAACCUCAUGGUGGUAACAUAAGAAUUUCUUGACUUUGAAAUGCAAGUUACAAAAUGAUUUUGACAAAUGAGAAGUAUUUAUAAUGUCUGAAAGGCCUAAAUAGAUUUCAAAUAAAACUGUUUCACUGGAUUCAGUCCAAUUUACCUGUUAUAUGAUGGAAAACUAGUUCCAAAUUUAACUUUCACCGUGGUCCUUUGCUAUGGAUGUCAACUGGAAUGGUGACUCCUAACCUUCAGAACUGAACUAAAGUUGUCAGUGUGAUGGUUGCUUUCCACUGAAACACAGGAAUCAAAGUAUGUGUUGUAUCCCAAAUAGAAGUGUUCUUUGCCACUUACUAAUAAAGAUGUAAGGUCAGA
This 1715-nucleotide long non-coding RNA is filed under the name Mus musculus (house mouse). RNAcentral's name for it is "Opa interacting protein 5, opposite strand 1". Lineage: Eukaryota; Metazoa; Chordata; Mammalia; Rodentia; Muridae. The record is from RNAcentral.